RNAcentral lists this ribosomal RNA (253 nucleotides) under uncultured bacterium. Its description in RNAcentral is "partial 16S ribosomal RNA". It matches the Rfam family "Bacterial small subunit ribosomal RNA", at positions 524 to 776 of the family's 1533-position model. The record is from RNAcentral.
UACGUAGGGAGCAAGCGUUGUCCGGAAUCAUUGGGCGUAAAGCGCGCGUAGGCGGCCUCAUAAGUCCGUUGUGAAAGUCAAAGGCUCAACCUUUGAAAGCCGAUGGAUACUGUGAGGCUAGAGUCCGGAAGAGGCGAGUGGAAUUCCUGGUGUAGCGGUGGAAUGCGCAGAUAUCAGGAGGAACACCUGCGGCGAAGGCGGGUUGCUGGGCCGACACUGACGCUGAGGCGCGAAAGCCAGGGGAGCGAACGGG